Molecule: ribosomal RNA, 497 nt
Filed under: uncultured bacterium
Lineage: Bacteria
Description: partial 16S ribosomal RNA
Rfam family: Bacterial small subunit ribosomal RNA
Source: RNAcentral
GAUGAACGCUGGCGGCGUGCCUAAUACAUGCAAGUCGAGCGAACAGAUAAGGAGCUUGCUCCUUUGACGUUAGCGGCGGACGGGUGAGUAACACGUGGGUAACCUACCUAUAAGACUGGGAUAACUUCGGGAAACCGGAGCUAAUACCGGAUAACAUUUGGAACCGCAUGGUUCUAAAGUGAAAGAUGGUUUUGCUAUCACUUAUAGAUGGACCCGCGCCGUAUUAGCUAGUUGGUAAGGUAACGGCUUACCAAGGCGACGAUCCGUAGCCGACCUGAGAGGGUGAUCGGCCACACUGGAACUGAGACACGGUCCAGACUCCUACGGGAGGCAGCAGUAGGGAAUCUUCCGCAAUGGGCGAAAGCCUGACGGAGCAACGCCGCGUGAGUGAUGAAGGGUUUCGGCUCGUAAAACCCUGUUAUUAGGGAAGAACAAAUGUGUAAGUAACUGUGCACGUCUUGACGGUACCUAAUCAGAAAGCCACGGCUAACUACGUG